GAUUAACGCUAGCGGCAGGCAUAAUACAUGCAAGUUGAGCGGCAGCACAGGUAGCACUACUGGGUGGCGAGUGGCGCACGGGUGCGUAACACGUAUGCAACCUACCCUAUACAGGCGAAUAACCUUUAGAAAUGAGGGCUAAUACGCCGUAGUAUUACAGAUGGGCAUCUAUUUGUAAUUAAAGAUUUAUCGGUAUAGGAUGGGCAUGCGUCCCAUUAGUUAGUUGGUAAGGUAACGGCUUACCAAGACGAUGAUGGGUAGGGGAUCUGAGAGGACUUACCCCCACACUGGUACUGAGACACGGACCAGACUCCUACGGGAGGCAGCAGUAAGGAAUAUUGGGCAAUGGCCGCGAGGCUGACCCAGCCAUGCCGCGUGCAGGAAGACGGCCUUAUGGGUUGUAAACUGCUUUUAUACGGGAAUAAUAGAGUGUACGCGUACAUUUAUGCAAGUAUCGGAUGAAUAAGCAUCGGCUAACUCCGUG
This 484-nucleotide ribosomal RNA is filed under the name uncultured bacterium. RNAcentral's name for it is "partial 16S ribosomal RNA". It matches the Rfam family "Bacterial small subunit ribosomal RNA", at positions 28 to 507 of the family's 1533-position model. The record is from RNAcentral.